CGGACGGGUGAGUAACGCGUGGGUAACCUGCCUCAUACAGGGGGAUAACAGUUAGAAAUGACUGCUAAUACCGCAUAAGCGCACAAAACCGCAUGGUUUGGUGUGAAAAACUGAGGUGGUAUGAGAUGGACCUGCGUCUGAUUAGCUAGUUGGAGAGGUAACGGCUCACCAAGGCAACGAUCAGUAGCCGACCCGAGAGGGUGACCGGCCACAUUGGGACUGAGACACGGCCCAAACUCCUACGGAAGGCAGCAG
Molecule: ribosomal RNA, 255 nt
Filed under: uncultured bacterium
Lineage: Bacteria
Description: partial 16S ribosomal RNA
Rfam family: Bacterial small subunit ribosomal RNA
Source: RNAcentral